Molecule: ribosomal RNA, 258 nt
Filed under: Triticum aestivum (bread wheat)
Lineage: Eukaryota; Viridiplantae; Streptophyta; Magnoliopsida; Poales; Poaceae
Description: partial small subunit ribosomal RNA
Source: RNAcentral
AUGAAGAGGAAGAAGACAGGUCGGAGAAGUCGAUAUGGAAGCCUUGUGGCCGCGUGCAUCGUGGAAGGAGACGUAGUGGAACUUGACGGACUCCCACACGGCGGUAGAAGAGAUCGGACGCGGUCGGAGAGGCUACCCCGAGCUCGAGCUCGAGCUAGGCCGGAGCAUGGUGGGCAGGGCGACGGCGUGGGCUUGGAGACUCACCUGGAGGUGGAGAGGGAAGAAGAUGAGGGGGAAUCGGUUGAGAGGAGACCCUAG